Molecule: small nucleolar RNA, 90 nt
Filed under: Ipomoea nil (Japanese morning glory)
Lineage: Eukaryota; Viridiplantae; Streptophyta; Magnoliopsida; Solanales; Convolvulaceae
Description: small nucleolar RNA snoR114
Rfam family: small nucleolar RNA snoR114
Source: Rfam by way of RNAcentral
AAGCGGUGAUGACUUCUGCGCACCAGUGGUGAUUUGGGUCGCCACGCUUUGUCUGACCUAAAUCGCACGAUCAACAGCGCAUCUGAGCUU